AGGGCACCACCAGGAGUGGAGCCUGCGGCUUAAUUUGACUCAACACGGGAAAUCUCACCAGGCCCGGACACUGGAAGGAUUGACAGAUUGAGAGCUCUUUCUUGAUUCAGUGGGUGGUGGUGCAUGGCCGUUCUUAGUUGGUGGAGCGAUUUGUCUGGUUAAUUCCGAUAACGAACGAGACUCUAGCCUACUAAAUAGAUCGCCGGUUUACAAACAUCGGUGAGACUUCUUAGAGGGACAGGCGGCGAUUCAGCCGCACGAAACAGAGCAAUAACAGGUCUGUGAUGCCCUUAGAUGUCCGGGGCCGCACGCGCGCUACACUGAAGUGAUCAGCGUGCUUUUUAAGCCUACUCUGCCAAGAGUGGGAAACCCAAUGAACCUUCUUCGUGAUUGGGAUAGGAGAUUGUAAUUAUUCUCCUUGAACGAGGAAUUCCCAGUAAGCGCGAGUCAUAAGCUCGCGUUGAUUACGUCCCUGCCCUUUGUACACACCGCCCGUCGCUACUACCGAUUGAAUGUUUU
This 519-nucleotide ribosomal RNA is filed under the name uncultured eukaryote. RNAcentral's name for it is "SSU rRNA". It matches the Rfam family "Eukaryotic small subunit ribosomal RNA", at positions 1161 to 1699 of the family's 1831-position model. The record is from RNAcentral.